RNAcentral lists this ribosomal RNA (404 nucleotides) under bacterium. Its description in RNAcentral is "partial 16S ribosomal RNA". It matches the Rfam family "Bacterial small subunit ribosomal RNA", at positions 355 to 776 of the family's 1533-position model. The record is from RNAcentral.
GGGGGAAUAUUGCGCAAUGGGGGAAACCCUGACGCAGCGACGCCGCGUGGAGGAAGAAGGCCUUCGGGUUGUAAACUCCUUUGGCAGGGGAAGAAGAAGACGGUACCCUGAGAACAAGCCACGGCUAACUACGUGCCAGCAGCCGCGGUAAUACGUAGGUGGCGAGCGUUGUCCGGCAUUACUGGGUGUAAAGGGCGUGGAGGCGGGGUGUCAAGUCAGGUGUGAAAGACUGGGGCUCAACCUCGGGGAUGCAUCUGAAACUGAUGCUCAUGAGUGUCGGAGAGGAAGGCGGAAUUCCCAGUGUAGCGGUGGAAUGCGUAGAGAUUGGGAGGAACACCAGUGGCGAAGGCGGCUUUCUGGACGACAACUGACGCUGAGGCGCGAAAGCGUGGGGGGCAAACAAG